GCUACGGACUUAAAAUCCGUUGGCUUUAAUAGACCUUGAGGGUUCAAGUCCCUCUACCCCCA
This 62-nucleotide transfer RNA is filed under the name Cololejeunea gottschei. RNAcentral's name for it is "partial tRNA-Leu". It matches the Rfam family "tRNA", at positions 23 to 71 of the family's 71-position model. From Rfam's summary of the family: Transfer RNA (tRNA) molecules are approximately 80 nucleotides in length. RNAcentral also lists the same sequence under 3 other names. The record is from RNAcentral. Lineage: Eukaryota; Viridiplantae; Streptophyta; Jungermanniopsida; Porellales; Lejeuneaceae.